Zingiber officinale is the source of this 850-nucleotide long non-coding RNA. RefSeq lists it as uncharacterized. The transcript has 3 exons. NCBI's taxonomy places the organism in Eukaryota, Viridiplantae, Streptophyta, Magnoliopsida, Zingiberales, Zingiberaceae. The record is from RefSeq and is a predicted model, not a curated record.
CUUCCCCAAACCCGCGCCUCCUCUCCCAAUUUCCCCCGACGCCGUGCCCUAACCGCCCUUCCCAAUCGGCGUCGCAACACCGCCUUCUCCCUCGUGUACAAGGUGAUCGGCUAAGGAGUCUGAGCCUCUGCCGAUUCUCCACUCUUUGUGAUCGUGUCCUAGCCAGCCCCGACCACCACAACCGACGCCGACUCUCUCUGCCUAGCGUCGACAGCCGGCUACCCCCCUUGUGCUGACACUUCAUCGCUUCCUGUGUCACCUCUCGUCCCCACGGCUAACACCAGUCACCACUGCCGUCACCGUUCAUCCUCGCGAGCAGCCGACGCAGAAGGGGGGGUUGAUCACAGCUGGCCCUGUCCGUGCCCUAGCGCUGACACAAAUCCAACACACUUCUCUUGAGUGUGCCCUAGUGUGGAAUCCAAGCCCUAGUUCUUCCUCUUGCUGCCACUGCCGAGCGAGCUUGCUUCAUCCCUCUAUUUUCGGCAGUCUCCUCUAUGCUGGCCGCCAAACCUACCCUUGCCUCUGUGCCACUCUUCCUUUCACGGGAUGAUCUGUGGCCAAGCGAAAGAAGUCGCCAAUCUAGCUUCAAGACCAGCACUGGAUCUCAGCCUCGGUCUGGUGUGAAGUUGCCGGCAGUUAGUAUGGUGAUCAGACCACAAGGUGCUGAUGUGGAAGGGUUGACCUGUUAGGCAACGGCUCCACCUUGCUUCGAUUACGAUUAUUGGCAACAACUUCACCUAUGACUAACUACUGUGCUCCAACAGCGGAUUUUCUCCGACUGUGAAUUGAGGACUCUGAUUCGAGACGAGCAUCUCAACGUUGGAUUUGACUGGAUUGAACCUGCUAUUUG